CAUGGUCACACAAAAAAGCUUGUAUAGAUUUAUAUGGGACGGAAGGAAAGGGAUCACGUGGGCCCAAAUGGUCUUUCCCAAGGCGGAAGAGGAUCUAGGGGUUAGAGACCUAUCUAUUAUCACCACUGCAACCAAUAUUAAAAGAGCUUCAAAGUACUGGGAUAAGAGUGAUUCUAUUUUGGUAAAAUAGAUUCAAGAUAGGUAUAUUAAAGGAAAAAUGCUUAAUGACAUACAAAUCAGGCCUACUAUGGAUUCACAUUUCUGAAAAGCUUUUAUCUCAGAAAGGAAUCUAGUAGAUAAAUGUUUGGAUUGUAGGGUCAAUAGUACGAUUGUGUAGAGAUCUGGUAUUCCGAUAAGCAAGUUGGGGGGAAUGGUGAAAAGUAUUAGAGAUAGAAAGCAUAAAGAUAUGUUAGCUGAGGGAAUUUGGUCGAAGAUGCCGACAAAAUUCUCUAUUCUCUUGUGGAGGGUGAAAUGGGAUCACCUAAAUACGUUCAAGAAGUUGAGAAGUUGGAGAGUAUAAGUACCUCCUGUUUGUUUGUUAUGCAAUCUGGAAGAUAAACUAAGAGUCGUCUUUUCUUCAACUGUUCUUAUUCCAAAUCUCUCUUAAUUCCGUUGGCUGAGCACCUGAAUCUCGUCUUCUGGAAAAUAAUGAAUAUUUCAGUUCCCACCCAAUCCAGUCCAGAUAUUAGAUCGAGGGAUCUGAUGGAGGCUGCAUAAAAAAUUACGCACCACUCUCCCCCUUGGGGCUAUUAUGGAAUGCUAUUGGGUGCUUGUCGUAGCAUAUAUGGACGGAAAGAAAUAAAAGAUAUAGACAGCACGUUAGUAGGCCUCCUAAAGUAAUCCUUAACAAGGUUCAGGAUGCGUCUUUGCGCGAUGCGCCACCACCUGGAGCACUUGAGCUUUUGCGCCAGUGGCAUUUUCGUAAAUAUAUAUAAAAAUAAAGGGUUUUCAUAUAUUUUUUAUAUACCUAAAAUAUAUCUACUUCAUAAAAUAUAUCAAAAUAGUUAAAAUAGUUCGAAACACAGACUAGUUCAAACUUGAAAUACAUAAUACGAUCUAUAGGUGAUCCUGUGUCUUCUUUAGCCGUUUAUAGAACAAAUAAUUUACAUCUAUAGGUUCAGGUUGGGGUUCACCCUCAUUGUUUUCAUUAAAUUCAGUCAUUUCGAAAACCCUAAAAAAAUAACAAAUUAAUUAAAAAUAACACAACCCUAAUCUCUGAAAUGAAAUGGAGAAAAAGAUGAAGGAAGAUUAAAAUAAAAAAAAAAUAAAAAAAAAAAUAAAAAAAAAUUGAAAAAUCACAUGCUAAGGGAGAUGCACCUGGCGCAUCUCUCUUCCAAGGCGCAUCGGCACCAUAGUUUUUAAAGCGGCGCUUAAAGUCGCUUUAAGCGCUCAAAGCGGAAAAGCGGUUUUCUAGGACCACUUUUCAGAUCGCUUUUUCUAAGCGGGUACUCGGGUCGGGUAAAUGGGUUGGGUCAAGUAAAUAUUUGAUUUCUCCUUUGAUUGACAAAUGACAAUUAAUCAUGUAUGUCAAGUAACGAUUUUCUUUGUAGUUACGUGGUGGCGUACUUAUGGAACUUCCAUCAAAGAACUAAGAAAAUACGCAAUGUGAAUCUUAGCUCUCUGUGCCUCUGCAUCUAGUUGUGAGAGAAAUUGGAGUUUAUUUGAACACGUAAGAACUUAAUUCUCAUUUGUAAAUUAGGGUUAUUUUUCAGAUAUUAGGUCAUUACCAUAAUCCUAAUAUACUAUUUGCAGAUCCAUUCGAGGAAAAGGAAUCGAUUGAAUUCCAAAAGAUUGGAUCGUCUGGUGUACAUAACGUACAACAGGAAAUUAGAGGAACGUACACAACGACACCGACUAUUGGAAUUGGAAGCGAGUGAUAAAUACAAUCCCAUAAGAGUCAACUCGAUGAACUUCAAUAGUGAGUGGAUGACAGGCGUAGAAGGGGCAUGCGACGAGUUCGUCUACACUGAGGCAGAUGGACUAACAUGGGCGCAAGUGGAGGAAGCUUCAGGAGCUGCUGAACAACCGGGACCGUCUACAAGGAGUGGGCAAACCCGUGGAUAUACCUAUGAGAGACAAAGGACUUCAUUUCCAGAUAUGGGAACUGAAUCCCAAUAUCGUUAUGCCAUGAAUGAAAUUGAGGAAAUUAUCAGAGAGCCUCUAGAUAAUAUAGAAUUAGGUGCUCGUCUAGAUG
RNAcentral lists this long non-coding RNA (2194 nucleotides) under Zostera marina. RNAcentral's name for it is "long non-coding RNA (ZMAR_LNC004239)". The record is from RNAcentral. Lineage: Eukaryota; Viridiplantae; Streptophyta; Magnoliopsida; Alismatales; Zosteraceae.